This 30-nucleotide non-coding RNA is filed under the name Rattus norvegicus (Norway rat). Lineage: Eukaryota; Metazoa; Chordata; Mammalia; Rodentia; Muridae. The record is from RNAcentral.
UAAUUUCAAUUUCUGAUUUGAUGAGGGUGU